GUGCCAGCCGCCGCGGUAAGACGGAGGGGGCUAGCGUUGUUCGGAAUUACUGGGCGUAAAGGGCGUGUAGGCGGUUUAGUAAGUUAGGAGUGAAAUCCCAGAGCUUAACUCUGGAACUGCUUCUAAAACUGCUAGGCUAGAGUGUGGUAGAGGAUGAUGGAAUUCCUAGUGUAGAGGUAAAAUUCUUAGAUAUUAGGAGGAACACCAGUGGCGAAGGCUGUCAUCUGGGCCAUUACUGACGCUGAGGCGCGAAAGCGUGGGGAGCAAACAGGAUUAGAUACCCUGGUAGUCCACGCUGUAAACGAUGAGUGCUAGAUGUUGGGAGAUUUUCUUUCAGUUUCGCAGCUAACGCGUUAAGCACUCCGCCUGGGGAGUACGGUCGCAAGAUUAAAACUCAAAGGAAUUGACGG
This 410-nucleotide ribosomal RNA is filed under the name Candidatus Hemipteriphilus sp. Its description in RNAcentral is "bacterial SSU rRNA". It matches the Rfam family "Bacterial small subunit ribosomal RNA", at positions 505 to 916 of the family's 1533-position model. Lineage: Bacteria; Pseudomonadati; Pseudomonadota; Alphaproteobacteria; Rickettsiales; Rickettsiaceae. The record is from RNAcentral.